UGCGUAGGCGGAUUAAUAAGUCAGUGGUGAAAACCUGCAGCUUAACUGUAGAACCGCCAUUGAUACUGUUAGUCUUGAGUACGGUCAAGGUAGGCGGAAUGUGUGAUGUAGCGGUGAAAUGCUUAGAUAUUACACAGAACACCGAUUGCGAAGGCAGCUUACUGGACCAUUACUGACGCUGAGGCACGAAAGCGUGGGGAGCGAACAGGAUUAGAUACCCUGGUAGUCC
RNAcentral lists this ribosomal RNA (229 nucleotides) under uncultured bacterium. Its description in RNAcentral is "partial 16S ribosomal RNA". It matches the Rfam family "Bacterial small subunit ribosomal RNA", at positions 568 to 796 of the family's 1533-position model. The record is from RNAcentral.